UUGUUCUUAAUGAUGAACUAUAAGAUGAGAAACGAGAUUAUAUUAAAAUUGUUUCAGAUUUGCAGUUAGCUCUUAGUUUAACGUAAGAGAAAUAUGAUAAAGGGUGGAUGUCCAAAAGUCGAUUAUCAAAAGAGUACGAAGAUGGAGUCGAAUCUUUCUUCAAUUUUGCAAUUGCAAAUGGAAAAGAUCCUAACUCUAUGCCUUGACCGUGUGUAAAGUGUAGUAAUCUUUUUCACUGGCCUGUCAACAUCAUAAGAGCGCAUCUUACAUAUAAUGGAAUAGAUUUAACAUACGCUAGUUGAAUCUUUCACAGGGAGAGAUAUAGAUCUCGCACAACUGAUAAAGAUGAAGGGAGUACCAGUGAAGAUAUAUGAGGCUGAUCUUUUCUUCCUCUUCUGUGAAACAUUGAGUUGUUUGCCGCUAUCACAAUUUGAUCUUCAGAGGGUCAGAGCUUUGUCUCCUUCCCAUGUCUUAAAAUAUUUUUCUUAUUCAUGGUUUGUUUGACUAGAGGUCAAAGCAAUUUUUUUUUUUGAGGGAGAGGUCAAAGCAACUUUAUAUGAUGAUGAUUGCAUAAUACUUAUGAAUAGAUUGAGAUACUAUUUUUUUUAUUUUUGUUUGAGAUACCACUUAUUAGUUACUCCCUCUGUCCACUAAUUAUUGGCCUAGGAGGCAAAACACGAAUUUUAAGCAAAAAUGUAUUUUUAUUAGUUAAGUGGAGGAAGGGACCCAUAAUUUAUUAAAGUCAAUGCAAUUAGGC
This 757-nucleotide long non-coding RNA is filed under the name Salvia miltiorrhiza (redroot sage). RNAcentral describes it as "long non-coding RNA (SMIL_LNC000592)". Lineage: Eukaryota; Viridiplantae; Streptophyta; Magnoliopsida; Lamiales; Lamiaceae. The record is from RNAcentral.